RNAcentral lists this ribosomal RNA (305 nucleotides) under uncultured bacterium. Its description in RNAcentral is "bacterial SSU rRNA". It matches the Rfam family "Bacterial small subunit ribosomal RNA", at positions 334 to 638 of the family's 1533-position model. The record is from RNAcentral.
GGGUCCUACGGGGCGCAGCAGUGGGGAAUAUUGCACAAUGGGCGCAAGCCUGAUGCAGCGACGCCGCGUGCGGGAUGGAGGCCUUCGGGUUGUAAACCGCUUUUGUUCAAGGGCAAGGCACGGUCUUUGGCCGUGUUGAGUGGAUUGUUCGAAUAAGCACCGGCUAACUACGUGCCAGCAGCCGCGGUAAUACGUAGGGUGCAAGCGUUAUCCGGAUUUAUUGGGCGUAAAGGGCUCGCAGGCGGUUCGUCGCGUCCCGUGUGAACGUCCAUCGCUUAACGUCGGAUCCGCGCCGGGUACGGGCG